This 403-nucleotide ribosomal RNA is filed under the name uncultured bacterium. RNAcentral's name for it is "partial 16S ribosomal RNA". It matches the Rfam family "Bacterial small subunit ribosomal RNA", at positions 30 to 526 of the family's 1533-position model. The record is from RNAcentral.
AUUGAACGCUGGCGGCAGGCCUAACACAUGCAAGUCGAGCGAGCGGCGGACGGGUGAGUAAUGUCUGGGGACUGCCCGAUAGAGGGGGAUAACUACUGGAAACGGUAGCUAAUACCGCAUACUGUAGGAUAGCCCAGAUGGGAUUAGCUAGUAGGUAAGGUAAUGGCUAACUUAGGCGACGAUCCCUAGCUGGUCUGAGAGGAUGAUCAGCCACACUGGGACUGAGACACGUCCAAGACUCCUACGGAGGCAGCAGUGGGGAAUAGUGCACAAUGGGCACAAGCCUGAUGCAGCCAUGCCGCGUGUAUGAAGAAGGCCAUAGGGUUGUAAAGUACUUUCAGUCGGGAGGCGUUACUGACAGAAGAAGCACCGGCUAACUCCGUGCCAGCAGCCGCGGUAAUUC